RNAcentral lists this ribosomal RNA (426 nucleotides) under uncultured Anaerotruncus sp. RNAcentral describes it as "bacterial SSU rRNA". It matches the Rfam family "Bacterial small subunit ribosomal RNA", at positions 354 to 794 of the family's 1533-position model. The record is from RNAcentral. Lineage: Bacteria; Bacillati; Bacillota; Clostridia; Eubacteriales; Oscillospiraceae.
UGGGGGAAUAUUGGGGCAAUGGGCGCAAGCCUGACCCAGCAACGCCGCGUGAGGGAAGAAGGUUUUCGGAUUGUAAACCUCUGUCGCAGGGGACGAAGGAAGUGACGGUACCCUGUAAGAAAGCCCCGGCUAACUACGUGCCAGCAGCCGCGGUAAUACGUAGGGGGCGAGCGUUGUCCGGAAUUACUGGGUGUAAAGGGAGAGUAGGCGGGAUUGCAAGUCCGUUGUUAAAUCUAUCGGCUUAACCGGUAGCUGCGGCGGAAACUGUAGUUCUUGAGUGAAGUAGAGGCAGGCGGAAUUCCUAGUGUAGCGGUGAAAUGCGUAGAUAUUAGGAGGAACACCAGUGGCGAAGGCGGCCUGCUGGGCUUUAACUGACGCUGAGGCUCGAAAGUGUGGGGAGCAAACAGGAUUAGAUACCCUGGUAGU